RNAcentral lists this ribosomal RNA (372 nucleotides) under uncultured bacterium. RNAcentral's name for it is "bacterial SSU rRNA". It matches the Rfam family "Bacterial small subunit ribosomal RNA", at positions 524 to 898 of the family's 1533-position model. The record is from RNAcentral.
UACGGAGGGUGCAAGCGUUGUCCGGAUUUAUUGGGUUUAAAGGGUGCGUAGGCGGCUAUUUAAGUCAGUGGUGAAAUCCAGCAGCUCAACUGUUGAACUGCCAUUGAUACUGAAUAGCUUGAAUAUAGUUGAGGUAGGCGGAAUUGACGGUGUAGCGGUGAAAUGCAUAGAUAUCGUCAAGAACCCCGAUUGCGAAGGCAGCUUACUAAACUAUAAUUGACGCUGAGGCACGAAAGCGUGGGGAUCAAACAGGAUUAGAUACCCUGGUAGUCCACGCUGUAAACUAUGAUCACUCGAUGUGUGCGAUAUACAGUACGCGUCCAAGCGAAAGCGUUAAGUGAUCCACCUGGGGAGUACGGCCGCAAGGUUGAA